AGUUUGAUCCUGGCUCAAGAUGAACGCUGGCGGCGUGCCUAAUACAUGCAAGUCGAACGCGGGCAGCAAUGCCCGAGUGGCGAACGGGUGAGUAAUACAUAAGUAACCUGCCCUUUACAGGGGGAUAACUAUUGGAAACGAUAGCUAAGACCGCAUAGGUAAAGAUACCGCAUGGUAAGUUUAUUAAAAGUGCCAAGGCACUGGUAGAGGAUGGACUUAUGGCGCAUUAGCUAGUUGGUGAGGUAACGGCUCACCAAAGCGACGAUGCGUAGCCGACCUGAGAGGGUGACCGGCCACACUGGGACUGAGACACGGCCCAGACUCCUACGGGAGGCAGCAGUAGGGAAUUUUCGGCAAUGGGGGGAACCCUGACCGAGCAACGCCGCGUGAAGGAGGAAGGUCUUCGGACUGUAAACUUCUGUUAUAAAGGAAGAAAGGCGGAUACAGGGAAUGGUAUCCGAGUGACGGUACUUUAUGAGGAAGCCACGGCUAACUACGUGCCAGCAGCCGCGGUAAUACGUAGGUGGCAAGCGUUAUCCGGAAUUAUUGGGCGUAAAGAGGGAGCAGGCGGCAGCAAGGGUCUGUGGUGAAAGACUGAAGCUUAACUUCAGUAAGCCAUAGAAACCGGGCAGCUAGAGUGCAGGAGAGGAUCGUGGAAUUCCAUGUGUAGCGGUGAAAUGCGUAGAUAUAUGGAGGAACACCAGUGGCGAAGGCGACGAUCUGGCCUGCAACUGACGCUCAGUCCCGAAAGCGUGGGGAGCAAAUAGGAUUAGAUACCCUAGUAGUCCACGCCGUAAACGAUGAGUACUAAGUGUGGGGAGUCAAAUCUCAGUGCUGCAGUUAACGCAGUAAGUACUCCGCCUGAGUAGUACGUUCGCAAGAAUGAAACUCAAAGGAAUUGACGGGGGCCCGCACAAGCGGUGGAGCAUGUGGUUUAAUUCGAAGCAACGCGAAGAACCUUACCAGGUCUUGACAUACUCUUAAAGGCUCCAGAGAUGGAGAGAUAGAUAUAUGGGAUACAGGUGGUGCAUGGUUGUCGUCAGCUCGUGUCGUGAGAUGUUGGGUUAAGUCCCGCAACGAGCGCAACCCUUAUCGUUAGUUACCAUCAUUAAGUUGGGGACUCUAGCGAGACUGCCAGUGACAAGCUGGAGGAAGGCGGGGAGGACGUCAAAUCAUCAUGCCCCUUAUGACCUGGGCUACACACGUGCUACAAUGGAUGGAGCAGAGGGAAGAGAAGCCGCGAGGUGGAGCGAAACCCAGAAAACCAUUCUCAGUUCGGAUUGUAGUCUGCAACUCGACUACAUGAAGUUGGAAUCGCUAGUAAUCGCGAAUCAGCAUGUCGCGGUGAAUA
Molecule: ribosomal RNA, 1351 nt
Filed under: uncultured bacterium
Lineage: Bacteria
Description: 16S ribosomal RNA
Rfam family: Bacterial small subunit ribosomal RNA
Source: RNAcentral